This 522-nucleotide ribosomal RNA is filed under the name uncultured bacterium. RNAcentral's name for it is "bacterial SSU rRNA". It matches the Rfam family "Bacterial small subunit ribosomal RNA", at positions 8 to 518 of the family's 1533-position model. The record is from RNAcentral.
AGAGUUUGAUCAUGGCUCAGGAUGAACGCUAGCUACAGGCUAACACAUGCAAGUCGAGGGGCAUCAGGACAGUAGCUUGCUACUGUUGCUGGCGACCGGCGCACGGGUGAGUAACGCGUAUCCAACCUUCCCCUUAGUAGGGCAUAGCCCGGCGAAAGUCGGAUUAAUACCCUAUGUUCUUCGUUGAUGGCAUCUGAGAUGAAGCAAAGACUUGUCGCUAAGGGAUGGGGAUGCGUCCGAUUAGGCAGCAGGCGGGGUGACGGCCCACCUGGCCUUCGAUCGGUAGGGGUUCUGAGAGGAAGGUCCCCCCACAUUGGUACUGAGACACGGACCAAACUCCUACGGGAGGCAGCAGUGAGGAAUAUUGGUCAAUGGGCGCGAGCCUGAACCAGCCCAAGUAGCGUGAGGGAUGACGGCCCUACGGGUUGUAAACCUCUUUUGCCGGGGGAUAAAGUGCGGGACGCGUCCCGUUUUGCAUGUACCCGGAGAAUAAGGACCGGCUAAUUCCGUGCCAGCCGCUGC